Molecule: transfer RNA, 85 nt
Filed under: Felis catus (domestic cat)
Lineage: Eukaryota; Metazoa; Chordata; Mammalia; Carnivora; Felidae
Rfam family: tRNA
About the family: Transfer RNA (tRNA) molecules are approximately 80 nucleotides in length. Their secondary structure includes four short double-helical elements and three loops (D, anti-codon, and T loops).
Source: Rfam by way of RNAcentral
GCUUGGGUGGCUCAGUUGGUUAAGCGUCUGACUUCAGUUCAGAUCAUGAUCUCACAGCUUGUGGGUUCAAGCCCUGUAUCGGGCU